Long non-coding RNA from Perca fluviatilis (European perch), 1704 nucleotides. RefSeq lists it as uncharacterized. The transcript is spliced from 2 exons. NCBI's taxonomy places the organism in Eukaryota, Metazoa, Chordata, Actinopteri, Perciformes, Percidae. The record is from RefSeq and is a predicted model, not a curated record.
UCUCACUUAGACACCUCGUCACUCAAUGCUAAAUACUUGAAGAUGGCUGUGGGGAUCAUCUUCUUCUUCAUCGGCUUCUCUGCAGCUACUGGUGGAGCAGCUUACUACUGGUGGAAACAGAGGUUUGACUUCAGCCAAUCAGGCAGACAAGCACAAACUCCAUGUGAUCCCUCAGAAUUGUUGAGUUAUUAACAGAAUAAGAUAAAGCUCUGCUGAAGAUCUGAAUUAGGAUGCAAUAUAAAGUAUUAAAGCUGGUGACCCCUUCAGCCCACAAAAAAAAAAGAAAAUUAUCCCUCUCAGCAUGCCUGACCUACAGUGGAAGGAGAAAAACGACAUCGUGGGAAGAUGACAUGCUGUUGUUUCCCCCCCAGCAUGGUGGAGCGCCUCCUUUAUCAUUUUUGUCAACCAAGGACUUAACCGACAUGUUAUCCUUCAAAACAAAGUGCCAUAAAUUGUUUCAACGUUGUGUUAGGAUCAUCUUGUAGAAUUAGGUGUCAGACCUGUCACUUACAAUAACGGUUUCACCUUGGUUUGAAACUUAUCAUCUUUACAUGACAUGCAGUUCAUUUAUUUUGUAUUGAAUUCAUUCAUUUAGUUAAAUUAUAUAUUCUUAAGGUUUCCCUUUCACUAUAUGAUCAUCUAAACACUGUGGCAUUGUGACUUCUCUACACUUCCACACUGCAAAAAAAUAAAAAACUGAUUUAAAGCUGCUGUAAUCAAUAUUUUUAUAUUAAUAAUGGAUCACAUGACAACAUGUAUGUUUACAGGUGUCAGUCAUAGUGAGGAACCCACAGAGGAGUAUCACUGGACUCUGUAGUUCCCCUCAGCUCCACGUGUCUUUCAGCGAAAGGUUUUGUUUUCUGUAGCCGACAGGCAGCUGUUACCAGCGGGAAAAAAACUCUACAAACCUACUGUACACUAUUUGCUAAGCAACAAAUGAUAGACAGACAAAGUUAGGUUAAGAAAAUUUAGUAUUUUGAAGAUAAAAAGCCAGAUAUUUCCCUCAAGAGUUGGUAGAGACCAAAAACAACUACAUUGAUCAGGUGGCCUGAAAAGAAUGAUAACGUUUCUCCGUAUCUAGUGGUUGUGUAAAUAAGGAACUGUUUGCUAACAAGUUCGCCAUAUCAACUUAAAUGGUCAUAAGAUGGUGAUUACGGCCUGUUACCGCUGCACCCAAGCAGCCCAACAAAUGUAUUCUUGUAGAUUUAGAAGAUAUUGAGUCUGAAUAACAUCAUAAUCAGCCUCACACCAUGUGUAAUUUGCAAACUUCUCCUCAGGUCCCAAACUCUCAGGUACUAUACUGUAGACAUGACAGGAGUUGGUAGCUACGACCCAUUCUGUAUAUUAAUGCAUUGAGAAUAACUAUACAGUGUCAUGUACAGUACACUUAUGUAAUAUGCUAGAUGGUAAAAGUUCAAGUUCAUGCAGUCUGUAAAAGUGUUUUGUCAGCCUACCGUCCAUUAUUUGUCCUAUAUAUGUAGAUAAUGUAAGAUAAUAGGUAUUAUUUUUAUGUUCAUGUGUAAAUAUGAGUGUCAGUGUGUAAAGAUGUAUGUAUACAGUGAUAUCUUGAUCACCAUAAUAAGAGUAUAACGCUGCUUUCCUUAAUUCAGUAAACAUGGGCUUUAUCAGUCCCCGGUGAUAUACAGUAGGGUGUGGAUGUCUGCAUAUCCUGGCGAGACAAAAUAAACCUUUUCUAAUCUCUUA